AUUGAACGCUGGCGGCAUGCUUUACACAUGCAAGUCGAACGGUAACAGGCCUUCGGGUGCUGACGAGUGGCGAACGGGUGAGUAAUGCAUCGGAACGUGCCCAAUCGUGGGGGAUAACGUAGCGAAAGUUACGCUAAUACCGCAUAAGCCCUGAGGGGGAAAGCAGGGGAUCGCAAGACCUUGCGCGAAUGGAGCGGCCGAUGUCAGAUUAGCUAGUUGGUGGGGUAAAGGCCUACCAAGGCGACGAUCUGUAGCGGGUCUGAGAGGAUGAUCCGCCACACUGGGACUGAGACACGGCCCAGACUCCUACGGGAGGCAGCAGUGGGGAAUUUUGGACAAUGGGCGCAAGCCUGAUCCAGCCAUGCCGCGUGCGGGAC
This 377-nucleotide ribosomal RNA is filed under the name uncultured bacterium. Its description in RNAcentral is "bacterial SSU rRNA". It matches the Rfam family "Bacterial small subunit ribosomal RNA", at positions 29 to 409 of the family's 1533-position model. The record is from RNAcentral.